This 578-nucleotide long non-coding RNA is filed under the name Mytilus galloprovincialis (Mediterranean mussel). Lineage: Eukaryota; Metazoa; Mollusca; Bivalvia; Mytilida; Mytilidae. The record is from RNAcentral.
GGUUUAAGCAUUUCAAAGUAUUAAUAUUUUCAGAAAAUGAAAAGAAAAAGAAAUAACAAUACGGCAAUAAUAAAAGACAAUGGGUGACAAAACGCCGAAAAAACAAUCUAGUGUUGUUGUUAUGAUUGUAAGGUGUACAUUUUCGACUUCUGCAAGGUUUCAACUGACAUCAAACUCAUUAUCAUGCAUCAUUCGGCAAUGUUUGUUUUAUGUUGUUUGUCCUUUUGGUUAUAUACCUUAAUGCUUAUAGCGCCAAGGUAUUUCGUGUAUGGUAUACAUGUAUAUCUGCAUGUUUCAUAUAUGACAAUGGUGAUGUCAAUUGAUAUAUUGAAUGAUAGUAAGAUGUCUAUGUCUGGCUGUCGGUCAGGGUUCAUAUACUUUUGACCUUAUGUUCCGAAUUAAUUGGCCAAGCAUAACUUUUACAUUUGUCAGUUUCUAAGGCACUGUAAGGAUCGGAACACAUUUAUUUGGUGUACGGGAUAUUUGUACAGAUCUGUAUGGCAUGGUUCAUCUGACCUUGACCUCUUUUUAUGAACCAAUGACAAUCUUAAGCGCAUUUGACACUUCUAGUAAAACCC